GACGAACGCUGGCGGCGUGCUUAACACAUGCAAGUCGAACGGAAAGGCCCUGCUUUUGUGAGGUGCUCGAGUGGCGAACGGGUGAGUAACACGUGAGUAACCUGCCCUUGACUUUGGGAUAACUUCAGGAAACUGGGGCUAAUACCGGAUAGGAGCUCCUGCUGCAUGGUGGGGGUUGGAAAGUUUCGGCGGUUGGGGAUGGACUCGCGGCUUAUCAGCUUGUUGGUGGGGUAGUGGCUUACCAAGGCUUUGACGGGUAGCCGGCCUGAGAGGGUGACCGGCCACAUUGGGACUGAGAUACGGCCCGGACUCCUACGGGAGGCAGCAGUGGGGAAUAUUGCACAAUGGGCGGAAGCCUGAUGCAGCAACGCCGCGUGCGGGAUGACGGCCUUCGGGUUGUAAACCGCUUUCGCCUGUGACGAAGCGUGAGUGACGGUAAUGGGUAAAGAAGCACCGGCUAACUACGUG
Molecule: ribosomal RNA, 468 nt
Filed under: uncultured bacterium
Lineage: Bacteria
Description: partial 16S ribosomal RNA
Rfam family: Bacterial small subunit ribosomal RNA
Source: RNAcentral